CUUGACGACCAUAGAGCAUUGGAACCACCUGAUCCCAUCCCGAACUCAGUAGUGAAACGAUGCAUCGCCGAUGGUAGUGUGGGGUUUCCCCAUGUGAGAGUAGGUCAUCGUCAAGCGCCUAACACCAAACCCCCAAUCGGCUUGC
RNAcentral lists this ribosomal RNA (145 nucleotides) under Pseudomonas sp. SJZ079. Lineage: Bacteria; Pseudomonadati; Pseudomonadota; Gammaproteobacteria; Pseudomonadales; Pseudomonadaceae. The record is from RNAcentral.